AACGAACGCUGGCGGCAUGCCUAACACAUGCAAGUCGAACGAGACCUUCGGGUCUAGUGGCGCACGGGUGCGUAACGCGUGGGAAUCUGCCCUUGGGUUCGGAAUAACUCAGAGAAAUUUGAGCUAAUACCGAAUGAUGUCGCAAGACCAAAGAUUUAUCGCCCAAGGAUGAGCCCGCGUAGGAUUAGCUUGUUGGUGAGGUAAAAGCUCACCAAGGCGACGAUCCUUAGCUGGUCUGAGAGGAUGAUCAGCCACACUGGGACUGAGACACGGCCCAGACUCCUACGGGAGGCAGCAGUGGGGAAUAUUGGACAAUGGGCGAAAGCCUGAUCCAGCAAUGCCGCGUGAGUGAUGAAGGCCUUAGGGUUGUAAAGCUCGUUUACCAGGGAUGAUAAUGACAGUACCUGGAGAAUAGGCUCCGGCUAACUCCGUG
Molecule: ribosomal RNA, 433 nt
Filed under: uncultured bacterium
Lineage: Bacteria
Description: bacterial SSU rRNA
Rfam family: Bacterial small subunit ribosomal RNA
Source: RNAcentral